ACAGCAUGAAAAAGGACAAUGUGAAAUACCCCAUUAUUAUGGACAUACAAAAUAAUUCAAUUUCUGGUUGUUUACAUGCUUGUUUAAAUAGGCACCCAUAUAUUUUGGGAAAAAUGAGUGUUUUUUGUAUUAGCGGAGCCAGCGCGGCCGCGCGCGGACCUCCAUAGGUAUAGAAAUAUGGUAAUCUAUGCGACUUUUGUGGUCAUCGCGCGGUUACCCUGUUGUGUCACAAAUCAUCCAGCCAGUAAUCCAGCCGCGCAGUUCUCAGGCCCCUCUCGGUCUUAUGCUUUUAUGUGUUUUUAGUUCAAAGUUCGUAUGUUCACGGGAAAAAAGGCAGCUUGAAAAUAGUAUUUAAUGAGAAAAUAUGCGGGUUCAAAUGGGCUUUGAAAAACCGGGUUCAAAUGGACUUUAAAGAACCGUUUUGUCUGAAGUACGAGCCGAUAGUAAAAUCUACCCGAGUGUUCAUGAAUCCCGCCCGUGGCAGCAGCUAAAAAGAGGACUAAGAGAGACUCUACACUACCAUUCUAUAUUCAUUCACGUCUAUAUCUAUGUAAGGAGUCCUGAGAAGAAAGGGCCUUUGAAUUAAUGUCUGUUUUCGGCUAUAAAAAUCAUUCACUGUCGACGAGUUCCUUGCUAGCAGAAAGUCGACAACUUCACAGUUAACAACAAAAGCGAACACAACCACAGUAGACAAACAGAAAGCGACAAGAAAAAAAAACAUUGCCAAGGUAAAAUCAACCAAGGACUACCUGAGGGCCAUGAUUGAUUCUAAACACUGGAAGGCAUGAGAAUAGGCAAAUGUCUUAAGGAUAAUAUAGUCGGGGAUUUCUUACUUUUAUACAACUGUAUAAGUGUAAUAUGUUUUUAGAGCAAGAUACUUGCUCUCAAUGAUAAAUCUGUAAAGAAAACUUUUUCUAUCGACCGAAAGAUAAAGAGGAAAAGGGAAAAUGUUAGGAGAGUGUUGUUGCAUUACUGUUAAUGUUUUCAUCAUAGAUAUAGUCCCAUUUCUUCCUUUUUUUCUCUCUGUUGACUAUUUUUGUAUGCAAUUGAUAAUAUUUGCUGUUUCCCCUCUGCACCCUAAAUAAAUUAAAAUAGGUUAUGUUUGAACGUAGAUAUUUUUUUUAGAAUUUGCUUCCCAACUCAAUUUGUUCUCCUCCAUUGCAUUUUAUAUUAGCAUGUGUGGAUCCAGAGUCGAUUUCCAGUUUUUGGUGUAUUGUAUUCAUUGUUCUGGUACGAGAUCGUGACAGUUUGGGCUUUUUGAUUUCAUUCUAUCUUUGGAAUGCUGUUUCAUACAUUAUUUUUUUUCUUUGCAAGGGCAAAGCUAGUCAGAUUGUAGCUUUGAAAGAUAACGACAAACUUGUGCUUUUUCAAAAAGUAAUUUUUUAAACAAAACAGUUAUAUAUCAAACC
Long non-coding RNA from Nematostella vectensis (starlet sea anemone), 1409 nucleotides. RefSeq lists it as uncharacterized. Lineage: Eukaryota; Metazoa; Cnidaria; Anthozoa; Actiniaria; Edwardsiidae. The transcript is spliced from 2 exons. The record is from RefSeq and is a predicted model, not a curated record.